GCUCUCUCUCUCUGUCUCUCUCAAAGUUAAAUAAACAUUUAAAAAAAAUUUUUAAUGAUAAAAUAAAAUAUUUGCCGUCUGUGGUCAAAUGGUUGUUUAUCAAAGUUUCCCUGAAGCACAAUCAAUUUUCUCAGCUUCGAGAAAUAGAGGGGUGUAACAAGUGAAUUCGGUUCGAUUGUCUGGUUUUGGUUGAUUUCAAAUGUGCUUGUAUUGAAUGCUAACCCUUCUUCAAUUCAGCAACUAGCUUAUAUAUGAAAAUUAAACGUUUGGGGGGGAAUUUCUUCUAUUCAUUUUUAAACUUGUAGCUCAGCACUUCUUUGUAUUAAAUUUUCUUUCCCUCCUUCACUCACUUGCAGUAGAUUAAAGUGUUGAUCUUUUCUUUUUGAAAUCAUAGUUUGCUAAGUGGAUGUCUUUGCGAAUAGUAACUUAAUUUUCUCUCUGGGAGUUUGCAGUUUCCAACCUGUGGAGACAAACACGGAAACACCGUGCCACACAAGCAUUCUGAUAUGAAAUUUGGAAAACUGGGAUUGUUGAAAGAGCUAGGAAGCACAGAUUGCACUCCCUUUGGACAAAGUUCCAACGGAUGAAGACUUGUUUUCUGACUGGAGUGGGAGCAGGGCUGAUGACCUCACUGACCGUCUCCAAGCUGCUUUUGGGGGCAGAUGCCAUCAGGAGGGACUCUGGCUUGUGGAAAUACUAUGUUCUCUUCCUGCCUUCGGGUGACUGUACAAACUUAAAAAAAAAAAAAAGCCCAGGCUGCAGCUCCACACAGGGUGUCUAGCCAAAAUGCAAAGUUUUACCACAGCACACAAGUAGACAGUGUUUUUCAAGUGCGGGAACCGAGUGAGGUGCCUUUCAGCACCUUUGCCGGCACCUUCUUUAAAAAUGAUUUAAAUUGGAGGCAAUAGCAUCGAACGCUGAACAUCUGACAUUCAGACAAGACUUAAUGAAUCAUACACUUUAACAACAUCACUCUCCUCCAGCCACUUCACUUGGAGUCCAUGGUGGUUGCUUCUCCCCCCCACAAAAACAUUUGUUCUGCAGACCAUUUGCUGGUUAGAGUGUCCUGGGCAACUCUUCAUUCAUGGCAGGGAGAGCUGGUCCAAGAGAGACUGCAAACCUGAGCUCCUCCCGUGUCCAGUCUCUCCAGCUCUGGACUUCAGACUCGAGAGAGACAACAGUGGUCCUUCGGAACCCGACUUAGAACCACCUCGGUCUCUCCCCAGCGCGGUCUACUGCAGAGUAUUUAAGCUGCGCGACCAAAUGUCCCCAACCUACAACAGCCAGUGCUGUCAUUUGACUGAUUUGAAUCAAACUAACAAAAAAGCUAUGACUCUGUGGAUCGGAAAAUACCAGUGUUAGGGGGAAAAGACAACAAUUCUGAUAUUCAGGUUGGAGCAAAUCAUUAUCUUCAGUGUUGUUAUUUAAUCCUCUCCCCGUGGGGGUGACAGUAUGUCUCAUAGCUUGCCUGACAACUGCUAAGGACACAGGCAGCGUGGUCCAAGGCUGCCCAGCUUCACCAAGGACCAUAAGCUAUUGUCUCACACACCUUUUGGACGGGUUACCAAUUCAAUGCCAUUGGCAGAGAAAGCGGGAAGGGGGGGGGGCAUUCCCUCGGGGCUGCAACGUAUGCAAACAAUUUAAUCUUCCAAUCCAAUCCUUAAUGUAAAUGUUUAAUAUAAACCUGAUGUUAACACGAGGUACAUGAAUUUACUGGCCGGCAAAGCUGGGAUUUA
Long non-coding RNA from Leopardus geoffroyi (Geoffroy's cat), 1736 nucleotides. RefSeq lists it as uncharacterized. NCBI's taxonomy places the organism in Eukaryota, Metazoa, Chordata, Mammalia, Carnivora, Felidae. The record is from RefSeq and is a predicted model, not a curated record. The transcript is spliced from 3 exons.